RNAcentral lists this ribosomal RNA (517 nucleotides) under uncultured Ferribacterium sp. Its description in RNAcentral is "bacterial SSU rRNA". It matches the Rfam family "Bacterial small subunit ribosomal RNA", at positions 8 to 524 of the family's 1533-position model. Lineage: Bacteria; Pseudomonadati; Pseudomonadota; Betaproteobacteria; Rhodocyclales; Azonexaceae. The record is from RNAcentral.
AGAGUUUGAUCCUGGCUCAGAUUGAACGCUGGCGGUAUGCUUUACACAUGCAAGUCGAACGGAUUAAGAAGCUUGCUUUUUAGUUAGUGGCGAACGGGUGGGUAAUAUAUCGGAACAUAUCCGGAAGUGGGGGAUAACGUAGCGAAAGUUACGCUAAUACCGCAUAUGCCCUGAGGGGGAAGGGGGGGAUCGCAGACCUCUCGCUUUCGGAGUGGCCGAUAUCGGAUUAGCUAGUAGGUGAGGUAAAGGCUCACCUAGGCGACGAUCCGUAGCGGGUCUGAGAGGACGACCCGCCACACUGGAACUGAGACACGGUCCAGACUCCUACGGGAGGCAGCAGUGGGGAAUUUUGGACAAUGGGCGAAAGCCUGAUCCAGCCAUACCGCGUGAGUGAAGAAGGCCUUCGGGUUGUAAAGCUCUUUCAGCCGGAAAGAAAUCGUAUCUAUUAAUACUAGAUGCGGAUGACGGUACCGGAAGAAGAAGCACCGGCUAACUACGUGCCAGCAGCCGCGGUAAA